RNAcentral lists this ribosomal RNA (120 nucleotides) under Branchiostoma floridae (Florida lancelet). Lineage: Eukaryota; Metazoa; Chordata; Leptocardii; Amphioxiformes; Branchiostomatidae. The record is from RNAcentral.
AGCCUUGGCCCUGUGGCACGUUGGAUACACCUGAUCCCUCUAUCUCAGAAGUUAAGCAAUGUGUAGUCCGGUCAGUUCUAGGAUAGAUGACCAACCAAGGAAGACCGGAUGCUGUAGCCU